GAGCAUUCCACUCUGCGUCGAAGGUGGGGCGUGAGCCCUGCUGGAGCGUGUGGAAAAGCAAAUGUAGGUAUAAGUAACGAUAAAGGGGGCGGGAAACCCCCUCGCCGAAAGACUAAGGUUUCCUGAUCAACGCUAAUCGGAUCAGGGUCAGUCGGGUCCUAAGGCUCAGCCGAACGGCGAGGCCGAUGGCAGAACCGGUUAAUAUUCCGGUACUACCCUUUAGGGUGACGUGGAGACGCAGUCGUGACAAUGCCGCCAGCUGACGGAAUAGCUGGUUAAAGGGUGUA
This 287-nucleotide ribosomal RNA is filed under the name Bicosoecida sp. CB-2014. Its description in RNAcentral is "partial Bacterial large subunit ribosomal RNA". It matches the Rfam family "Bacterial large subunit ribosomal RNA", at positions 1234 to 1522 of the family's 2925-position model. The record is from RNAcentral. Lineage: Eukaryota; Bigyra; Bicosoecida.